CAAAGACCAAAUACGCCACGCUGUCAAUGUUAUUCUAUGGGACGACAGCAGAGAUUUCAAUAUUGAAUGAUCAAUGGUCAUACCAUGGUUGGCUGUGCAGCGUUUGGAUGCUCCAAUCGGUCCGAGAAGGGUUACCACAUGUAUGGCUUCCCCAAGGACCAAGAGCGCAGGAAGAAAUGGAUGGCAAUGGUCAGCCGUCAAAACGUACAAGUGACAGGGGUCAGCAACAGUCAAAAACUAUGUAAUGUACACUUUGAAGAUGACCAAUUCAGAGCCACGAGAAGGGAUGCUGAAGUUGAGGCCCGAUGCAGUCCCAACAGUUUUCAUUCAUCGUCCUAAGCCGAAGAGGAGGAAAUCCCCUUCUGUGAGGGUGCCUCCAGAACCAAGUGCAACGGACCACACAUAUUGCGCCAAAUUAAACUUUGGUAUGAUCCAUGCAGCUAACAAUAUUCCCCAUUUCAUCUAAUUCAAGGAUAGACUACACUCCUAAUGAGAUUACAUAAUUCAGGGGUAAACGGUGAAGGAAUAACUUUUCCAGGGCCAGCUGCUCCAGGGACCAGACUGCCAGGGACUGAUGGGGCGACUGUGGAGGACCUAAUAAGGCAACUAGAAAAGGAAAAAUUAAUGAGAAGGAGAGCAGAGAGGGCUCUUGUAAAACAAAAAGAAUAAAUUUGGCACUAAGAAAGAGAAACAAUUCAGUCAACAAGAAGUUAAAACAAAUGUUUACUAGCGACCAAAUUAGAGCCCUUGGACAGGAAAAUAGACAAAUACGUUGGGGAAAGGAGACAAUUAAAAAAGACCUACGGGUUAAAUUUGUGGUAAGAUGGCCGCCAGUGGUGACGUUCUAGACGCCACCGUAACUAGGCAUCUGGUCCAACAGCCUGGAAAGAUAAUACGUUUCUGCACACUUCCAGUAAGAUGCUCAUUGCUUUAAAAGUUGAGGUUUACGCUAAAUCACUUCAGUAAAUGUGGGCCAGGUAAUAAUCUAAAUAGUGCCAAAGAUAAUUCAUUACACAAUUGUUCCAAAGAUACAGUACAUUGCCAACAGAAAAACAGCAAUACAGCCGAAGGCACACCUUCAUAGGACAAAACAUGUUGGUUCCCUAACUUAGGGUGACCUCAGUCCCCAAUACACGGAAAGAGUUCACAGCAAGUGAUCAAGAGGAAGAGGAGAUCUUAAUAUUGAAUAUUCGCAAUAAGUUCUACUUUAAUAUUUGCCCACUUGGGGGUAUGUUUUGUGUAACCUGUAAGUCAAGUGAUAUCUUCAAUAUUGUCAUAUAAUCAUUACAGUAUUAACAAUGAUAAAUGAAAAAAUAAAUCAACAUUUGGAGACAAAAAACACAAAUCCUGGAAUCCUUUUGUUAAACGAUUUGUAUCAUAAUUUUUUAAUCAUCAAAGUAGCCACCUUUUGCAGACAUAACAGCCGAACAAACUUCCUACAAUGGAAAUCAAAUAUUGCUUGGGAUGCUCUUCCCAACACUGUUGUAGAUGUUCCCACAAAUGUGUUUCACUUGUAGGUUGCUUUGUUUUCACCCCUCAGUUCAUCCUAAACGUAAACUUUAAGUGAUAAGUAACUUUAACGCCUCGUGCCCACUACCUCCGUCCGU
Long non-coding RNA from Gadus chalcogrammus (walleye pollock), 1607 nucleotides. RefSeq lists it as uncharacterized. The record is from RefSeq and is a predicted model, not a curated record. Lineage: Eukaryota; Metazoa; Chordata; Actinopteri; Gadiformes; Gadidae. The transcript is spliced from 3 exons.